Long non-coding RNA from Hypomesus transpacificus, 264 nucleotides. RefSeq lists it as uncharacterized. The transcript has 3 exons. The record is from RefSeq and is a predicted model, not a curated record. NCBI's taxonomy places the organism in Eukaryota, Metazoa, Chordata, Actinopteri, Osmeriformes, Osmeridae.
GUUGGCUGACAUCGGUGGCAGUUUCAGAGAGCAGGAUGCAGAGUUUUCCCCACAAAAAGAGCUCAGCUCGGAACAAGUGAUCUGGCGCAGAGGGAUACAAAAAAAAUUGUGGUCGUGUAAUGUGACCUCAGGGGGAAAAAGAAAGCUUUGGAAUGCAGCUCGACACCAGUCCAUCAGAUGCAAAAAUCCAGACUUUUCUCACAUGAUAUCACCCAUGUCCCUCUGGGUUGGUGAGGGGCCCUACCUGCAAAACCUCCCUCAGAG